Molecule: long non-coding RNA, 873 nt
Organism: Pogoniulus pusillus (Red-fronted tinkerbird)
Lineage: Eukaryota; Metazoa; Chordata; Aves; Piciformes; Lybiidae
Exons: 3
Source: RefSeq, a predicted model, not a curated record
GUUCAGCACACCCUUUUUAUCUCUUCUCUGCGGGACGUCUCCAUCCAGAUUACUGGAAAAAAAGCGGAAAAGGAUUAACUUCAUGAUUCAGUGAGAAUUGAUCCUAAAGGAGAAAGAGAAAGGGUCACCUGGAUUCUUCUGGAGGACCCAUCAGGAAGCUCAGCCUCUCUUUCCCUUAAGGAAAAGCCAGCACACACAGCACAGCCAGUUGCAUGCACGUUUUCUUCUCUUGCUGCCUGCCAGGCUGAUCCUGCCAAGGUGCUGAAUCACUCCUGAAAGAGCCCAGCACCAGCCCCAUACCCUGCACCCCGGGCGAACGGCAGCUUCCUAGAGCCCAGGAGAUGUGAUCAGAUAUGUCUCCAACUUACCCAAUGCAAUAACCUGCUGAAAUAAAGCAACAGAUGCUGACUCAUGCCCCAGCGUUUUUGUGCUACUCUGCUCACUCAAAGGAGCUGGCAAUCGUUUGACUUUCCUGAGGUUGGGAAGGAGGAGAGGACAGGAGGUGUGGGGACAGAGCCAAGGUGGUUUUGGUGAUGUCUGAGUGCUGCCUCUGUGCAUAGCUUUUAUUUAGUUAUUUUCUCUUGUGUUUUUUGUUUUAAAUUGAUUCAGUUAUUGGGUUUCACUUUUCCUUUCUAAUUUGACUCACUUAUUGGGGUUUUGCUUUUCCUUUCUAAAAUGCCAGUUACUGGGUUUUGCCUCUUUUUUUUUCCUUUCUUCUUGUAAAUGGACUCAGUUUCUGGGGUUUUCUUUUCUUCCUCCCCUUCCCCUUCCCUUCCCUCCCCUUCCCUCCUCUCUUCUCCUCUACCUCUCCCCUUCCCCUCCUCUCCCCUCCCUUCCCCUCCUUUCCUCUCCCCUUCCCCUCCUCUCCUUUCC